RNAcentral lists this long non-coding RNA (1099 nucleotides) under Callithrix jacchus (white-tufted-ear marmoset). Its description in RNAcentral is "lncRNA (ENSCJAG00000079532.1)". Lineage: Eukaryota; Metazoa; Chordata; Mammalia; Primates; Cebidae. The record is from RNAcentral.
GCCCCAGGAAGCUCUAGCCCCCAUUCUACCAUGUAAGGAUGCAAGAAGUUGGCAGUCUGCAACUCAGAAGAGAGCCUGCAUCAGGCUGGGCACAGUGGCUCACGCCUGUAAUCCCAGCAUUUUGGGAGGCCAGGGCAGGUGGAUCAAUUAAGGUCAGGAGUUUGAGACCAGCCUGGCCAACAUGGCGAAACACUAUCUCUGUGAAAAAUACAAAAUUAGCUGGUGGCGUGUGCCUUAAUCCCAGCUACACGGGAUAGUGAGGCAGGAGAAUCGCUUGAACCCAGGAGGCAGAGGUUGCAGUGAGCCGAGAUCGCAGUACCGCACUCCAGCCUGGGCAACACAGUGAGACUCCAUCUCAAAACACCAAAAGAAGAGGAGGGCGGGGGAGAGGAAGAAGAAGUAAGAAGAAAGAAGAAAGAAGAAAGAAGAAAGGAGAAGAAGAAGAAGAGUAGUGGUGGAGAAGGAGGAGGAGGAGGAGGAGGAAGAACCAGAACAAGAACAAGAAGAGGAAAGCCUGCAUCAGAAGCCAACCAUGCUGGCACCCUGAUUUUGGACUUCCAAUGGUCAGAACUUUGAAAAAUUAAUUUCUGCUAUUUAUAAGCCUCCCAGCCUAUGAUACUGUUAGAGCAGCUCACUGCCUACAACAGCAUAUGCUUAAUGCCAUGUCCAGUACACAGUCACAUGUUCCAUAGAUGUUCAUGUCCUUCUCCCACCUCUAAUUCCAGUCCUGUGCUCUGCCUACCCCGGAGUGAGCAUGAUGCUGUUUCAUUCGUUCUGCUCCCUGAAUUUGAGAUGUCAGAGUUAAUUCCACUGUGUAAACGGCGACCCUGGAAACCAGCCAAGAGCAGCCAGCAAUCAGGGACCACUUCGGGCUCACGGGGACUGCUGAGCAGGGGCUGGCUGGAGGAAGAUUUCCAGUCAUCGCAUCUUCUGAAACCCUCUCAAACUGCCUCUCCCAAAUGACGACACUUUCAGCUCAAGAGUCAUUUCAUUCUGAAACAAUUGCCAAGCACCAGGCAUGCCCAGCCAUGGGUAGGAAUGAGUGAUGCACUUCCUCUGAUCUAUGUCUGUUCCUUUGGAAAACGCUCAUUGCUCAGUG